RNAcentral lists this ribosomal RNA (465 nucleotides) under uncultured bacterium. RNAcentral's name for it is "partial 16S ribosomal RNA". It matches the Rfam family "Bacterial small subunit ribosomal RNA", at positions 339 to 795 of the family's 1533-position model. The record is from RNAcentral.
CUACGGGUGGCAGCAGUGAGGAAUUUUGCGCAAUGGGGGGAACCCUGACGCAGCAACGCCGCGUGAGUGAUGAAGGCUUUCGGGUCGUAAAGCUCUGUCAAGUGGGAAGAACCUAUGCAGUGUUAAUAUCACUGUACACUGACGGUACCACUGAAGGAAGCACCGGCUAACUCCGUGCCAGCAGCCGCGGUAAUACGGGGGGUGCAAGCGUUAUUCGGAAUCAUUGGGCGUAAAGGGCACGUAGGCGGCUUGGUAAGUCAGAUGUGAAAGCCCGGGGCUUAACCCCGGAAGUGCAUUUGAUACUGCCAUGCUUGAGUAUGGGAGAGGGAAGUGGAAUUCCUGGUGUAGAGGUGAAAUUCGUAGAUAUCAGGAGGAACACCGGUGGCGAAGGCGACUUCCUGGACCAAUACUGACGCUGAGGUGCGAAGGCGUGGGUAGCAAACAGGAUUAGAUACCCGCGUAGUC